AGCAUGUCUUUCUUUUUUUCUACCAUUAGUAUGGUAUUAACUAUUGGUGCCCUUAGGGCUGUUUUUCUCAAUAGGCUCGUAUAGUAUUUUAGUGUAAUUUUCUUGGUUAUCCUUGGUUAUCUUAGGGUGAGUCUCCCUAAGAUCCCAAUAUAAGUGGACCUAAUGUCCAUGAUAAAAAACUCCCCAUCUCUGGAAUAUAGUUGGCUUUUUUUUUUUUAACUCAAUUGUUAAAGUAAUCUGUCCCUUGGGACAAAACUGUCAUCAAUGAAACCAUACAAGGGUUCGGUCAUAUGUAUCUAAAGGUGAUUAACCUACAUCUUAUCAAAAGCACUUCCAAAUGGAAUAUUUACAGAGCUACCAUAAUCUACUAGCAUAUGGUUAAGGCCAAUGCAAGCUAUUACGGCUUGCACUACCAAUACAUCAAAGUGGGAAUAUUUGAUUCCACGUUCACCAUCAAUAUUAAAUAUAAUUGAAAGAUAUGCAAUUUUAGGAUUUCCUUAAAUCUAGAAACUUUUCAGUGUGAGCUUUUUAGUUGCUCGGCCAUAGUUUUUUGUAGUUUCAUAGCCUCUCAUUCGACGUAAAGGUCUUCAAUUGUAGUAUAGAUUUCACUCACUGGAGUUUUGGAGUGUGGUUCAUUUACUAGUUUUCUGAUGAGUUUGUAUACCUUAGCCUACCUCACGGACCUCACUCAUUAGCACUUGGUAAUGAAGCUUUUGACUUUCUGACACUUCAUCUCAAGUACUUCAAAGCAGUCAUCCGUAUCACGGUCCCUAGUGCGAUGGAUUUUGUAGAACUUUGCCUUUUGAUAUUUAGAGGAUGGGUGCACUUCACCUAUAAUUCAUGAAGGGCCUAAAGAGAUUGCUUGCAAUUUGUCCUUAGGCUCGUCGAAAUGCAAGUACUGUUGUUUUGGCAAUUUGGAUGCG
This 923-nucleotide long non-coding RNA is filed under the name Olea europaea subsp. europaea. Lineage: Eukaryota; Viridiplantae; Streptophyta; Magnoliopsida; Lamiales; Oleaceae. The record is from RNAcentral.